This is a long non-coding RNA of Musca domestica (house fly), 426 nucleotides long. RefSeq lists it as uncharacterized. The record is from RefSeq and is a predicted model, not a curated record. The transcript is spliced from 2 exons. NCBI's taxonomy places the organism in Eukaryota, Metazoa, Arthropoda, Insecta, Diptera, Muscidae.
UGCCUUGAAUUUACAUUUAGGAUUGAAAUUUUCAAAUUCAAAAAUUUAUUAUAUCAAAUAGUUGCUGCUUCAAUAUAAAAAAACAAUAAUAAUAUUUUUUUUUAGUCCGGGAAAAUGCAGUUUGAUUUUCAAAUGUAUCAAUUCCCAAAUAUUUUAAAAAGAAAAAAAGACCGGUUGGUCGCAAAUUAAAAGAGGAUUUAUCGGCAGUUGCAGAUUGACGGCAUUGUUUAUGGAGGCCAUAACUCAUGUACAUUUGAUAGACUUCAAAAGAACUUUAAAUUAUAACGAUUAUUUAUUAUUGUUAUCAAAUGUUGUUUGUCCUAUUGUGCCUCUGUAUACAUACAACUUGAAUGAAGUGCUUGUCAAUAUAUUUUUAUAAGCUUUAACACUAUUUCAUAGCAAGCAAUAUAUUCAAUUUACGUUGAA